GACGAACGCUGGCGGCAUGCCUAAUACAUGCAAGUUGAACGAUGAUAUUCUCUGCUUGCAGAGAAUUGAAGAGUAGCGAACGGGUGAGUAACACGUGGGGAACCUGCCCAUGAGAGGGGGAUAACAUUCGGAAACGGAUGCUAAUACCGCAUAAUGCUUUGGACCGCCUGGUCCAGAGACGAAAGACGGCUUUUGCUGUCACUCAUGGAUGGCCCCGCGCCGUAUUAGCUAGUUGGUGAGGUAAUGGCUCACCAAAGCUGUGAUACGUAGCCGACCUGAGAGGGUGAUCGGCCACACUGGGACUGAGACACGGCCCAGACUCCUACGGGAGGCAGCAGUAGGGAAUCUUCCACAAUGGGCGAAAGCCUGAUGGAGCAAUGCCGCGUGAAUGAAGAAGGUCUUCGGAUCGUAAAGUUCUGUUAUUAGAGAAGAACAAGUCAAGGAGUAACUGUCUUGACUUUGACGGUACCUAACCAGAAAGACACGGCUAACUACGUG
Molecule: ribosomal RNA, 498 nt
Filed under: uncultured bacterium
Lineage: Bacteria
Description: partial 16S ribosomal RNA
Rfam family: Bacterial small subunit ribosomal RNA
Source: RNAcentral